RNAcentral lists this ribosomal RNA (392 nucleotides) under uncultured bacterium. RNAcentral describes it as "partial 16S ribosomal RNA". It matches the Rfam family "Bacterial small subunit ribosomal RNA", at positions 523 to 917 of the family's 1533-position model. The record is from RNAcentral.
AUACGGAGGAUGCGAGCGUUAUCCGGAUUUAUUGGGUUUAAAGGGUGCGUAGGCUGUGCGUUAAGUCAGGGGUGAAAUGCCGUCGCUCAACGACGGAGCUGCCCUUGAUACUGGCGUGCUGGAGUACGGAUGCCGUUGGAGGAAUGAGUGGUGUAGCGGUGAAAUGCUUAGAUAUCACUCAGAACACCGAUUGCGAAGGCAUCGGACGAAGCCGUCACUGACGCUGAGGCAUGAAAGCGUGGGGAUAGAACAGGAUUAGAUACCCUGGUAUUCCACGCCGUAAACGAGGAUGACUAACCGUCGGCGAUAGACAGCCGGUGGCCAAGCGAAAGCGAUAAGUCAUCCACCUGGGGAGUACGUCGGCAACGAUGAAACUCAAAUGAAUUGACGGG